This 513-nucleotide ribosomal RNA is filed under the name uncultured bacterium. RNAcentral's name for it is "partial 16S ribosomal RNA". It matches the Rfam family "Bacterial small subunit ribosomal RNA", at positions 30 to 523 of the family's 1533-position model. The record is from RNAcentral.
AUUGAACGCUGGCGGCAUGCCUAACACAUGCAAGUCGAACGGCAGCACAGUAAAGACUUCGGUCUUUAUGGGUGGCGAGUGGCGGACGGGUGAGUAACGCGUAGGAAUCUGUCCUGGAGAGUGGGAUAACCCGAGGAAACUCGGGCUAAUACCGCAUGAUAUCGAGAGAUCAAAGGCAGGGGACCCUUCGGGGCCUUGCGCUCUAGGUUGAGCCUACGUCGGAUUAGCUAGUUGGUGGGGUAAAGGCCUACCAAGGCGGCGAUCCGUAGCUGGUAUGAGAGGAUGACCAGCGAAAGUGGGACGGAGACACGGCCCAGACGCCUACGGGAGGCAACAGUGGGGAAUCUUGGACAAUGGUGUGCACCCUGAUCCAGCGAUGCCGCGUGUGUGAAGAAGGCCUUCGGGUUGUAAAGCACUUUAGGUGGGGAAGAAAGGUAAUGAGUGAAUAACUGAUUGCUUUGACGGUACCCGCAGAAUAAGCACCGGCUAACUCUGUGCCAGCCGCCGCCGUAA